Molecule: transfer RNA, 65 nt
Filed under: Pulchriphyllium giganteum
Lineage: Eukaryota; Metazoa; Arthropoda; Insecta; Phasmatodea; Phylliidae
Description: tRNA-Phe
Source: RNAcentral
AUUCGUGUAGCUUAUAUUAGAGCUUAAUAUUGAAGAUAUUUUGGAAGUUUUCAUGCUUGCGGAUA